RNAcentral lists this ribosomal RNA (640 nucleotides) under Vibrio vulnificus. RNAcentral's name for it is "bacterial SSU rRNA". It matches the Rfam family "Bacterial small subunit ribosomal RNA", at positions 35 to 664 of the family's 1533-position model. Lineage: Bacteria; Pseudomonadati; Pseudomonadota; Gammaproteobacteria; Vibrionales; Vibrionaceae. The record is from RNAcentral.
GCUGGCGGCAGGCCUAACACAUGCAAGUCGAGCGGCAGCACAGAGGAACUUGUUCCUUGGGUGGCGAGCGGCGGACGGGUGAGUAAUGCCUGGGAAAUUGCCCUGAUGUGGGGGAUAACCAUUGGAAACGAUGGCUAAUACCGCAUGAUGCCUACGGGCCAAAGAGGGGGACCUUCGGGCCUCUCGCGUCAGGAUAUGCCCAGGUGGGAUUAGCUAGUUGGUGAGGUAAUGGCUCACCAAGGCGACGAUCCCUAGCUGGUCUGAGAGGAUGAUCAGCCACACUGGAACUGAGACACGGUCCAGACUCCUACGGGAGGCAGCAGUGGGGAAUAUUGCACAAUGGGCGCAAGCCUGAUGCAGCCAUGCCGCGUGUAUGAAGAAGGCCUUCGGGUUGUAAAGUACUUUCAGUCGUGAGGAAGGUUGUAGUGUGAAUAGCACUAUGAUUUGACGUUAGCGACAGAAGAAGCACCGGCUAACUCCGUGCCAGCAGCCGCGGUAAUACGGAGGGUGCGAGCGUUAAUCGGAAUUACUGGGCGUAAAGCGCAUGCAGGUGGUUUGUUAAGUCAGAUGUGAAAGCCCUGGGCUCAACCUAGGAGUUGCAUUUGAAACUGACAAGCUAGAGUACUGUAGAGGGGGGUAG